AUGGGCUGGACCUGCAAGAUCCUCUUCUUGGUGGCAGCAGCCACAGGUGCCCACUUCCUGGUGCAGCUGGUGCAGUCUGGGGCUGAGGUGAAGAAGCCUGCGGCCUCAGUGAAGGUCUCCUGCAAGGCUUCUGGAUACACCUUCACCUACUGCUACUUGCACUGGGUGCGAUGGGCCCCUGGACAAGGGCUUGAGUGGACAGGAUUUUAUGGUGAUAGUGGUUACACAAACUACGCAGACUCUGUGAAGGGCCGAUUCACCAUCUCCAGGGACAACGCCAAGAACUCACUGUAUCUGCAAAUGAACAGCCUGAGAGCCGAGGACACGGCUGUGUAUUACUGUGUGAAACACACAGUGAGGGGAAGGGUUCCUGGCAAGUCAUUUCUCCCUCAGGCCUUCGGUUUCCUCACCUACAAGAUGAGAAGGCUGCACCAGAUGGAAAUUUGGGGCGUAAGGGGAUGUCCGCGCGCAGCCCACCCCGCCCACAGGCCCCUUGAGCCUCCAUCACAGUUCCCAACACGCACCCGCCUCACAAAUCCUGCCCAAGGUGAGGGCUGGUCCCGGGUCCUCCGGCUGCUGCAUCAGCGAGUGCAGGAGUGA
Non-coding RNA from Pan troglodytes (chimpanzee), 600 nucleotides. The record is from the annotation of a RefSeq genome assembly. Lineage: Eukaryota; Metazoa; Chordata; Mammalia; Primates; Hominidae.